GCCUCGGUAGCCUAGCCGGGUUAGGGCGCCUCCUUGGUAAGGAGGAGGUCCCGGGUUCAAAUCCCGGCCGAGGCUCCA
RNAcentral lists this transfer RNA (78 nucleotides) under Candidatus Bathyarchaeota archaeon. RNAcentral's name for it is "tRNA-Thr". It matches the Rfam family "tRNA". From Rfam's summary of the family: Transfer RNA (tRNA) molecules are approximately 80 nucleotides in length. Their secondary structure includes four short double-helical elements and three loops (D, anti-codon, and T loops). Further hydrogen bonds mediate the characteristic L-shaped molecular structure. tRNAs have two regions of fundamental functional importance: the anti-codon, which is responsible for specific mRNA codon recognition, and the 3' end, to which the tRNAs corresponding amino acid is attached (by aminoacyl-tRNA synthetases). tRNAs cope with the degeneracy of the genetic code in two manners: having more than one tRNA (with a specific anti-codon) for a particular amino acid; and 'wobble' base-pairing, i.e. permitting non-standard base-pairing at the 3rd anti-codon position. Lineage: Archaea; Thermoproteati; Candidatus Bathyarchaeota. RNAcentral also lists the same sequence under 1 other name. The record is from RNAcentral.